Molecule: ribosomal RNA, 385 nt
Filed under: Cutibacterium granulosum
Lineage: Bacteria; Bacillati; Actinomycetota; Actinomycetes; Propionibacteriales; Propionibacteriaceae
Description: bacterial SSU rRNA
Rfam family: Bacterial small subunit ribosomal RNA
Source: RNAcentral
UCCACUGUUGCCAGCAAUUCGGKGGGGGACUCAGUGGAGACCGCCGGGGUCAACUCGGAGGAAGGUGGGGAUGACGUCAAGUCAUCAUGCCCCUUAUGUCCAGGGCUUCACGCAUGCUACAAUGGCCGGUACAGUGAGUUGCGACAUCGUAAGGUGGAGCGAAUCUCAAAAAGCCGGUCUCAGUUCGGAUUGGGGUCUGCAACUCGACCUCAUGAAGUCGGAGUCGCUAGUAAUCGCAGAUCAGCAACGCUGCGGUGAAUACGUUCCCGGGGCUUGUACACACCGCCCGUCAAGUCAUGAAAGUCGGUAACACUCGAAGCCGGUGGCCUAACACUUUUUGUGGGGGAGCUGUCGAAGGUGGGACUGGUGAUUAGGACUAAGUCGU